CAAAUGACUCUCGGCAAUGGAUAUCUUGGCUCUUGCAUCGAUGAAGAACGUAGUGAAAUGCGAUACUUGGUGUGAAUUGCAGAAUCUCGUGAACCAUUGAGUCUUUGAACGCAAGUUGUGCCCGAGGCCUUGCGGUCGAAGGCACGCCUGCUUGGGCGUCAUU
This 163-nucleotide ribosomal RNA is filed under the name Riedelia sp. Mood M75P204. RNAcentral's name for it is "5.8S ribosomal RNA". It matches the Rfam family "5.8S ribosomal RNA". Rfam says of the family: 5.8S ribosomal RNA (5.8S rRNA) is a component of the large subunit of the eukaryotic ribosome. It is transcribed by RNA polymerase I as part of the 45S precursor that also contains 18S and 28S rRNA. Lineage: Eukaryota; Viridiplantae; Streptophyta; Magnoliopsida; Zingiberales; Zingiberaceae. The record is from RNAcentral.